CCUCAACCAUCCGCCAGGGGACUACGAGCACCAGCUUAAAACCCAAAGGACUUGGCGGUGCUUAAGACCCCCCUAGAGGAGCCUGUUCUAGAACCGAUACCCCCCGUUAAACCUCACCCCUCCUUGUUAAGACCGCCUAUAUACCGCCGUCGUCAGCUUACCCUGUGAAGGCUAGAUAGUAAGCAGAAUCAGCAAACCCCAAAACGUCAGGUCGAGGUGUAGCGAAUGGAGGGGGAAGAAAUGGGCUACAUUCCUUACUUGUAAGGAAAACGAAAGAUAUAGUGAAAUAUAUAUCAGAAGGAGGAUUUAGCAGUAAGUGGGAAUCAGAGAGUUCCACUGAAGCCGGCCCUAAAGCGCGCACACAC
This 365-nucleotide ribosomal RNA is filed under the name Enneanectes boehlkei (roughhead triplefin). Its description in RNAcentral is "partial 12S ribosomal RNA". It matches the Rfam family "Bacterial small subunit ribosomal RNA", at positions 859 to 1390 of the family's 1533-position model. The record is from RNAcentral. Lineage: Eukaryota; Metazoa; Chordata; Actinopteri; Blenniiformes; Tripterygiidae.